RNAcentral lists this ribosomal RNA (63 nucleotides) under Paenibacillus polymyxa. RNAcentral describes it as "partial 23S ribosomal RNA". Lineage: Bacteria; Bacillati; Bacillota; Bacilli; Caryophanales; Paenibacillaceae. The record is from RNAcentral.
GGGGGUGGAAGUGCAGUAAUGCAUGGAGCUGACCAAUACUAAUCGGUCGAGGGCUUAUCCUAA